UUUGCCCUUUCGGGUGUGCCAUUGUAGCUCUCUUAAAAUCGUCUGAACCAAAGAUCCGGGAAUGAUCGGUCACCAGAGUCAAUAGCUCAGAAGAAGUAACUAAGCCAAAGUGAAGUAUCCCACAAUGGAAAGCACUAUCGACUGAACCUCGUCCGGCUUGUGGUAUGUCACGUUGCAACAUUAUACUGAAAUAGCAAAUGAGGAACGUGAGACCCACACUAAUCCUAGGUGUAUACUCGGGCCUGGGUUUUAGCCCCACUCAUAACACCCACCCCAAAUAACAGAACCACCUGCAGAGGAAGAUGGCAACAUGACAGUAAUGAUGCAUGCACAUAUUUAAUGCAAAUAUAAACAAUGGUUAGAAUAACUAAAUGCAAUAAAU
RNAcentral lists this long non-coding RNA (382 nucleotides) under Lathyrus oleraceus (garden pea). RNAcentral describes it as "Pisum sativum (pea) long non-coding RNA (PSAT_LNC015943)". The record is from RNAcentral. Lineage: Eukaryota; Viridiplantae; Streptophyta; Magnoliopsida; Fabales; Fabaceae.